UCUCCUUCCAGCUGGGACCCGGGAGCUUUGCAGUGUCUGACGGUGCCACCUGGAUCACCUGGAGGUGCUGGGAAUGCAAAGGGAUCAUGGUGGAGCAGAGGAAGCAUUAUCUGGGACACAGCUGUGUGGAAGAGCUCCCAAAAUCCAUCAGACAUGGUCGGGAGGCUCUGGAGCACAAAGGUUCCUAGAGGCAACGUGUGUAUUUGUGAUUGUGUGGAAACUGACCAUGGGACAGUUAUGAAGACAAAUUCUAAUAAAUAACUGAGGAGGUAAAGCAUGGAAGAAGGCCUUUGAACCUAUCCUUUGUUCGCAAUUACCCUUUGUAAGUCUUCAGUUGAUUUAGGAUCAUUUGAAUUAAAGCUUUAAGGAUGUUUCUCUUUGACUGGAACUUUCUGCUUGUAGCUAAGCCUUAAAGAGUUUUGCAAUAAUAACCUUUUGAAGUAUAAUUUUAGAAUAUUGCUCGUAGUAAGGAUCUUUGAAACCAUCGCUUUAGAAUAUAUAAAAAGGAAACGUGCUUAUCUCGAUACAUUAAAAAAAAACAGUGAAAAGCAGCUUAAGAAAGGAAGAUGAACAUCUACUCAAGGAUUGAUGGUUUCGACCAAGAGAAGCUGGACAUCACUGUUAUGAGAUUUGGAAUUAAAAGGUGGACCCAUCUGGAAUCUGGACCUCACCAGCUGGGAGACUUCUUUCUUCUUUCGGAAGCCGGACCCCACCAUCUGGGGAUACUCCUUUCUGGGAUACAUCCUGAGAAAAACUAAAUCAUAAUAGUGUAUAGAAUUGUGACGUAAAAAUUGGGAACGGAAACUGCUGAGAAAGCUUAUGAGUACCCCUAUCAAUGCCUGUAAGCCUCAACUAUCGGUGUGCAGCUGGAGGGAAAACUUCCCCCCCUGUACCCAGCCUGUAUUGCUCAUACUUUACCAUAUGAAUUAAUAAAUUGAUUGCUGCUUGAA
Molecule: long non-coding RNA, 950 nt
Organism: Passer domesticus (house sparrow)
Lineage: Eukaryota; Metazoa; Chordata; Aves; Passeriformes; Passeridae
Exons: 2
Source: RefSeq, a predicted model, not a curated record